Molecule: ribosomal RNA, 495 nt
Filed under: uncultured bacterium
Lineage: Bacteria
Description: partial 16S ribosomal RNA
Rfam family: Bacterial small subunit ribosomal RNA
Source: RNAcentral
GAUGAACGCUGGCGGCGUGCUUAACACAUGCAAGUCGAACGAAGCGAUUUAGCGGAAGUUUUCGGAUGGAAGUUAAAUUGACUGAGUGGCGGACGGGUGAGUAACGCGUGGGUAACCUGCCUCACACUGGGGGACAACAGUUAGAAAUGACUGCUAAUACCGCAUAAGCGCACAGGACCGCAUGGUCCGGUGUGAAAAACUCCGGUGGUGUGAGACGGACCCGCGGUUGAUUAGCUAGUUGGUGGGGUAACGGCCUACCAAGGCGACGAUCAAUAGCCGACCUGAGAGGGUGACCGGCCACAUUGGGACUGAGACACGGCCCAAACUCCUACGGGAGGCAGCAGUGGGGAAUAUUGCACAAUGGGGGAAACCUUGAUGCAGCGACGCCGCGUGAGUGAAGAAGUAUUUCGGUAUGUAAAGCUCUAUCAGCAGGGAAGAAAAUGACGGUACCUGACUAAGAAGCCCCGGCUAACUACGUGCCAGCCGCCGCAGUAU